UUUUUGGUAGCUUAAAAUUAAAGCAAUUAACUUUUAAUUAAUAGAUUGGAUAACCAUCAUUAUC
This 64-nucleotide transfer RNA is filed under the name Physella acuta. RNAcentral describes it as "transfert RNA-K(AAA)". Lineage: Eukaryota; Metazoa; Mollusca; Gastropoda; Physidae. The record is from RNAcentral.